RNAcentral lists this ribosomal RNA (478 nucleotides) under uncultured bacterium. Its description in RNAcentral is "partial 16S ribosomal RNA". It matches the Rfam family "Bacterial small subunit ribosomal RNA", at positions 28 to 523 of the family's 1533-position model. The record is from RNAcentral.
GACGAACGCUGGCGGCGUGCUUAACACAUGCAAGUCGAACGGUAAGGCCCUUCGGGGUACACGAGUGGCGAACGGGUGAGUAACACGUGGGUGAUCUGCCCUGCACUUCGGGAUAAGCCUGGGAAACUGGGUCUAAUACCGGAUAGGACCACUGCCUGCAUGGGUGGUGGGGGAAAGCGUUUGCGGUGUGGGAUGGGCCCGCGGCCUAUCAGCUUGUUGGUGGGGUGAUGGCCUACCAAGGCGACGACGGGUAGCCGGCCUGCGAGGGUGACCGGCCACACUGGGACUGAGAUACGGCCCAGACUCCUACGGGAGGCAGCAGUGGGGAAUAUUGCACAAUGGGCGCAAGCCUGAUGCAGCGACGCCGCGUGAGGGAUGACGGCCUUCGGGUUGUAAACCUCUUUCAGCACCGACGAAGCGCAAGUGACGGUAGGUGCAGAAGAAGGACCGGCCAACCACGUGCCAGCCGCCGCCGUAA